GGUCAAGCUACAAAGGGCGCAUGGUGAAUGCCUUGGCAUCAGGAGCCGAUGAAGGACGUGAUAAGCUGCGAUAAGCUUCGGGUAGGCGCACAUAGCCAGAGAUCCGGAGAUUUCCGAAUGGGGAAACCCGCAUGAGAAACCUCAUGCAUCGUAAAGUGAAUACAUAGCUUUAUGAAGGAACACCUAGGGAACUGAAACAUCUAAGUACCUAGAGGAAGAGAAAGAAAAAUCGAUUUUCUUAGUAGCGGCGAGCGAAAAGGAAAGAGCCCAAACCAGAGAUUUAUCUCUGGGGUUGCGGACAGAACAUAACGUGAAAUUAUGAUUAACCGAACACAACUGGAAAGUUGGACCGUAGGAGGUAAUAGUCCUGUAAGUAAAA
RNAcentral lists this non-coding RNA (379 nucleotides) under Clostridium butyricum E4 str. BoNT E BL5262. RNAcentral describes it as "Bacterial large subunit ribosomal RNA". It matches the Rfam family "Bacterial large subunit ribosomal RNA", at positions 1 to 384 of the family's 2925-position model. Lineage: Bacteria; Bacillati; Bacillota; Clostridia; Eubacteriales; Clostridiaceae. The record is from Rfam by way of RNAcentral.